ACGACUCUCGGCAACGGAUAUCUCGGCUCUCGCAUCGAUGAAGAACGUAGCGAAAUGCGAUACUUGGUGUGAAUUGCAGAAUCCCGUGAACCAUCGAGUCUUUGAACGCAAGUUGCGCCUGAAGCCGUCAGGCUGAGGGCACGUCUGCCUGGGCGUCACGC
This 161-nucleotide ribosomal RNA is filed under the name Cuscuta monogyna. RNAcentral describes it as "5.8S ribosomal RNA". It matches the Rfam family "5.8S ribosomal RNA". Rfam says of the family: 5.8S ribosomal RNA (5.8S rRNA) is a component of the large subunit of the eukaryotic ribosome. It is transcribed by RNA polymerase I as part of the 45S precursor that also contains 18S and 28S rRNA. The record is from RNAcentral. Lineage: Eukaryota; Viridiplantae; Streptophyta; Magnoliopsida; Solanales; Convolvulaceae.